GUGGGGAAUAUUGGACAAUGGGCGAAAGCCUGAUCCAGCCAUGCCGCGUGUGUGAAGAAGGUCUUCGGAUUGUAAAGCACUUUAAGUUGGGAGGAAGGGCAGUAAGUUAAUACCUUGCUGUUUUGACGUUACCAACAGAAUAAGCACCGGCUAACUUCGUGCCAGCAGCCGCGGUAAUACGAAGGGUGCAAGCGUUAAUCGGAAUUACUGGGCGUAAAGCGCGCGUAGGUGGUUCAGCAAGUUGAAGGUGAAAUCCCCGGGCUCAACCUGGGAACUGCCUCCAAAACUACUGAGCUAGAGUACGGUAGAGGGUAGUGGAAUUUCCUGUGUAGCGGUGAAAUGCGUAGAUAUAGGAAGGAACACCAGUGGCGAAGGCGACUACCUGGACUGAUACUGACUCUGAGGUGCGAAAGCGUGGGGAGCAAACAGGAUUAGAAACCCUUGUAGUCC
This 450-nucleotide ribosomal RNA is filed under the name uncultured bacterium. RNAcentral's name for it is "bacterial SSU rRNA". It matches the Rfam family "Bacterial small subunit ribosomal RNA", at positions 354 to 796 of the family's 1533-position model. The record is from RNAcentral.